RNAcentral lists this ribosomal RNA (402 nucleotides) under bacterium. RNAcentral's name for it is "partial 16S ribosomal RNA". It matches the Rfam family "Bacterial small subunit ribosomal RNA", at positions 355 to 776 of the family's 1533-position model. The record is from RNAcentral.
UGGGGAAUUUUGCACAAUGGGGGAAACCCUGAUGCAGCGACGCCGCGUGAUUUAGAAGGCCUUCGGGUUGUAAAAAUCUUUUCUAUGGGAAGAAAAUGACAGUACCAUAGGAAUAAGGACCGGCUAAUUAUGUGCCAGCAGCCGCGGUAAUACGUAAGGCCCGAGCGUUGUCCGGAAUCAUUGGGGGUAAAGGGUACGUAGGCGGGUAAGCAAGUUAGAAGUGAAAUCCUAUAGCUCAACUAUAGUAAGCUUUUAAAACUGCUCAUCUUGAGGGAUGGAAGGGAAAGUGGAAGUACUGGUGUAGCGGUGAAAUGCGCAGAUAUUAGGGGGAAAACCGGUGGCGAAGGCGACUUUCUGGCCAUAACCUGACGCUGAGGUACGAAAGCAUGGGUAGCAAACAAA